AACCUUAUGGACCUGCGGGCGUAUACCUGCGGAAGGAUCAUUAUAGAGAUUGAUGCACCAAGUGCAUCACCUCCAACCCCUUGCGAAAACAACUAUCAUGUGUUGCUUUGGCAGUGUUUCCACUGCCAGAGGUUUACAUAAAAUCAGCUGUUUGGAUGUUGUCUGAGUAAACUAUAUGAAUUAUUUAAAACUUUUAACAACGGAUCU
RNAcentral lists this unclassified non-coding RNA (207 nucleotides) under soil metagenome. RNAcentral describes it as "partial contains 5.8S ribosomal RNA, internal transcribed spacer 2, and large subunit ribosomal RNA". The record is from RNAcentral.